UUGCAGUCAAUUAAGCCGACUGUGCUCUUUUCCCCAUGGGGGCCCGGUACGCAAUGGCUGCAAACAGAAGCCUCCUCAGUAGUGUAUGCAGCCUGUUGCCUGUAAUGGGUUGCCCUAAGGAACCUUGGAGACAGCC
Small nucleolar RNA from Mesoplodon densirostris (Blainville's beaked whale), 136 nucleotides. RefSeq annotates it as small nucleolar RNA SNORA70. The record is from RefSeq and is a predicted model, not a curated record. NCBI's taxonomy places the organism in Eukaryota, Metazoa, Chordata, Mammalia, Artiodactyla, Ziphiidae. The transcript has a single exon.